CAACCCUUUGGCUCUUUUUAAAAAUAAGCCUGGAGCCUUAUUCCUUCCACUCUAAAAGUUUCUUUGUGCUAGGUUAUAGAGUUAAGUCUUUGCUGAUUCCUGCUUCUCUUUGCAAGAGGAAAAGCCCGUUGAAUCCUGCAGGAUAGCCAUUUAUGCUGGAAUUAUCCUUGAGGACAGUAAUUGCACGCCUCGAGCUGUGGCUAAGGAGUUUAAUGACACGUGGGUUUGUAUUAUUUUUGGCCUAUUCUUUGAUGUGAAAUGAAAAAAAUAAAAUUCUUUCUUUCUCUAAUAGAACACAAGAGUAAGGGCAUGGAUGGGGGCAUCACGGUGACCAGCGAAGACAACGGGGAGGCGGAGGGUGACGGAGAGGCCGUUGGCAAAGGAGAGAGAGAGGAGGAGGGCAAGGAAGAAAGGAGAGCAUAAAGAUCAGGAGGAUUUUUUAGAUUUCAGUUGGUCUUUUUUCUUCCUUCCCAUUAUCACCAGUGUCGGCCUUCCCCUCCUAUCUCCCUCAGGUGCUUUGAUUUUCAUAGAUCUCUAAAAAAGAUUAAAAAAUAAAAAAUACCCAACACAAAAUCCCAGCC
Molecule: long non-coding RNA, 581 nt
Filed under: Elaeis guineensis (African oil palm)
Lineage: Eukaryota; Viridiplantae; Streptophyta; Magnoliopsida; Arecales; Arecaceae
Description: long non-coding RNA (EGUI_LNC032777)
Source: RNAcentral